Molecule: non-coding RNA, 1911 nt
Organism: Taeniopygia guttata (zebra finch)
Lineage: Eukaryota; Metazoa; Chordata; Aves; Passeriformes; Estrildidae
Source: RefSeq, a predicted model, not a curated record
AUGGUUUCACGGUUCCAUGAUUAGCCCAUUCACUCCCACAGAGAACGACUGGGAUUACUGGGAAGGCUCCAUCUUCACCCGGAGCAUUCCUGGGGCAGCUGGAGAUCCCGGCCAAGGAAUGAAAUCCAGGGAAUGUCUGAGUGGUGACGAUCCUGUGGGAUUUGCCUUGCCAUCCGAGGGGGAAGGCUGAAAUCCAAGCAGAGCUUAUAGAGCUGUAAAAGGGGACAAUAUUGGGCUAUUAAAAUACAAAUUACUGUUAAAUCCCAAGGGGAAAGGGAUAAAGGCAGGGACACCAGCGCUGGUUCUAAUCAGCAGUAUCUAAUUAAAUCCUCUGUUUGAGGUUUCAGUGGGAAUUAGCAAUGAUUGGAAUUCAGUCUGGUGUUCAGGAGCUUUCAUCAGGUGUCCUUGGGAGAUACCUGAAGAUAAAAAGCUAUUGGAUGUGUUCAGUCCAGAGAGAAAAAUGGUGUUAAAUAAUUCUGAUUGUUUAGAUUAGCUCAGGCAAAUGGAGCUUUUGUGUCAUUUCAGCUCUGUGAAAUCAGCAUGGGAAGGUGGGAGAUUGGAUUCCUGGUCAAAGGGAUGCUCAGAGAGGAAUUCCUGGGAUUAAAAGUUUGGGGAUCACUCAAACGAUGGCCCCACAGUGCGGGAGUGACAAAGGAAGAGCUCCAUUGGGCUGCUUUGGACUGGGAGUCUCUCAGAAUCUCCUCUUCGUGUUUUGCUGGCAUUAUUUUAUCAUUAAUUAAUUUUCAUCUUUACAGAGAGUCACACUUGUGUUCUGAACAAAACUCCUGUUGUGCUUUAGCACUGAAAUCUGGGAAUUCUCAAAGCUGUUGUCACAUUUUUGUCCUGGAGCUGGCACUGUGGGAGGGGAAGGGACCAGCAGGAGCUGAGCCCUGAGCACGGGAACUAAACCAGAGCCAGGGCAUCCCAAAAAAAACCACCCAAAAUCAGGGAAUGCUUUUCCUGGGAUCUCUUUGAGUCUCCAUUUCUUCAUGUGCAAAGAAGAGAAAAAAAAUUUUGCUUUUCUCCCCUCAGAGUUUACUCAUUUAUGAGGGACUUCCACCCUGCAGCCAGCAGUCCUUUGAGCCCCAGGAAAUUGUGUCCCGUUUUCCACCCAGAGCCAGGAUGGAAUUCUCAGGAACACUGAGGCCACGGGCUGUGUAAACAGCAUAAAAUAAUCAGAAUAUGGGGUUAUAACCUCUGGAAGAAGAGGCAGCAACAAAGGGAAGCAUGAGGAGAAUCUCUGGACCUUGUUGGAUGUGACAAAGGUGAGGAAAAAGCUCAGCUGAAAUGGGCAUUGUUAAUGCCUUGGAAAACACCCUGGGUGUGUUUAGAGGACUCUGAGCUCAUGGAAUGUGUAUUUUCAGGGAUGAAACCUGCAUUUCUGAUUGAAUAAGCAGCCUUCGAGGGUGAAAAAAUUCCAGAAUUCCAUUUCUGAUUUGAAUGGGGCUCAGCACUCGGCCUUCAUUCACAGGGAUGAGCUCAGCCCAGUGCUGAGUUCUAUGAGCUCCUCAGCAAAUUCCAAGUCCUGCUAGAGGGCAUUUCUUCCUCAGAUCUUCCCUUAAAGAAGAUUUUUUUAUUCCCUGGCCACUCAUUAACAGCGUUUCAGGUAUUUCUUGCACCUUUAGUGCCUACAAGGCUUUCCAGAGAGAAAAUAAAACACUUUUCACCCAAAACCUCUCCAUGUCAGAGCAAAACACAAUGCAAGGGCCCAACCCAGCCUGCCCAUGACUAUUUUAUCUAUUUGGGGUUUUUUUUCCCCUCCAUAUCAACAUGGAAUUUCUGCCCACAGGAAUCACUUUUGCUGCCAAAUUAUCUGCUGAUUAACACGGGGUAAUAAAUCAGUUUAAUUUGCAGCCACCUGGGCAGAACAGCAUGACCAAAAUUCCUUUAGUUAGUCAAGGGCAGAAGCAC